UACAUGAUAUAACAGUCUCUCUGUGGUGCAA
This 31-nucleotide non-coding RNA is filed under the name Mus musculus (house mouse). The record is from RNAcentral. Lineage: Eukaryota; Metazoa; Chordata; Mammalia; Rodentia; Muridae.